GACGAACGCUGGCGGCGUGCCUAAUACAUGCAAGUAGAACGCUGAAGGAGGAGCUUGCUUCUCUGGAUGAGUUGCGAACGGGUGAGUAACGCGUAGGUAACCUGCCUGGUAGCGGGGGAUAACUAUUGGAAACGAUAGCUAAUACCGCAUAAGAGUAGAUGUUGCAUGACAUUUGCUUAAAAGGUGCAAUUGCAUCACUACCAGAUGGACCUGCGUUGUAUUAGCUAGUUGGUGGGGUAACGGCUUACCAAGGCGACGAUACAUAGCCGACCUGAGAGGGGGCUCGGCCACCCUGGGACUGAGACACGGCCCAGACUCCUACGGGAGGCAGCAGUAGGGAAUCUUCGGCAAUGGACGGAAGUCUGACCGAGCAACGCCGCGUGAGUGAAGAAGGUUUUCGGAUCGUAAAGCUCUGUUGUAAGAGAAGAACGAGUGUGAGAGUGGAAAGUUCACACUGUGACGGUAUCUUACCAGAAAGGGACGGCUAACUACGUG
Molecule: ribosomal RNA, 495 nt
Filed under: uncultured bacterium
Lineage: Bacteria
Description: partial 16S ribosomal RNA
Rfam family: Bacterial small subunit ribosomal RNA
Source: RNAcentral